Non-coding RNA from Spodoptera litura, 742 nucleotides. Lineage: Eukaryota; Metazoa; Arthropoda; Insecta; Lepidoptera; Noctuidae. The record is from RefSeq and is a predicted model, not a curated record.
UUAAAGAAUGAUGGUUUUUAUAGAAGUUUUUGCGGUGCAUCCAUAAUAGGAGAAAAGAAGAUUCUUACUGCCGCACAUUGCUUUUUGGGAAAUAAACGGAUUUCUGUUGUUUUAAUGACAGGAACGAUUGAUAAAGGUAGCUUAAGCGAUAUUUACGCAGUAGCUGGUAAUCUAAUGAAUGAAGGUAAAUACAGCUUGGACAAUGAUUUCGGCCAGUGGAGAAGUUUGUCAAGCGUCAGAUACUCCAAACAUUAUAAAAGGCCUAAACAUGAUAUAGCAGUUGCUGGUACGGCAAAACAGGGCGAGACAAAAAGAUUUCAAGUGAAAUUCUUUUAAAAGGCUAUUUGGAAAUAAUGACUUCGUUCGACUGCAGUGAACUGUACCACUACAACAUGGAAACGUUUAUAUGUACUGCUGAAGAGUUCUCAGACACCGGAAGGGGUGAUUCUGGUGGACCUCUAGUAUGCACUAACACGAGUGAUCCGAACGAAAGGGACAUUGGAGUAUUAGUUGGCAUUGCAAGGUCUCACAGUCCAAACCGAUCCUCUUUAUUUGUCAGAGUCUCUAAAUACUACAACUUCAUAACUAAAGAAACGACUGCAGUUGUUGGGUACAACAAAUACGGGUAUCCAUAUUCUAGUUGUAUUGCUCACAAACUUUACUUCUAUUUGCUUGUUUUGCUACUAUUUCUUAUCAUUGAAAUAUGAGUGUUAAUUUAUCAGAUACAAUUAGUUUUUUUUUC